CGUAAUUAUAUAGACACAGGUGAGAUUUCAUGUCAGGUAAUCACCUAAUUGUAUAGACACAGGUGAGAUUUCAGUUUCCUCGUGGCAUUGCACUGAUGUGACCGGGUGUGUGGGUCGUUUUCCUCACUCCUCUGGAAAGACUGAGGAUGUUCCAAAGGGGGCAGGACAUGCUCAGAAUACGACCACAGAGUGUCCGCACGGCAAGGAUUAGAAUUGGUCUGAUUCCUCAUGGAAAUGACACAAUAUAUAUGCCAAGGUCUGGGACAACACAAAAACUACUGAUUGUCCCUCAUUCCAUGUCUGAGAGGGAAUUUGUGGAAAGGAUAAGGGAGGAAUUCCCAGAAUUGCAGCAGCGUCAAUUUACACUCUGCCGAUUAAAUCGGCACAAGCACAUUAUCCAUUUAAACCUCCCCACAGUUUCCCCUGCUUCCAUAAAGUCCUGCCAAGAACUCAGAAAUUCACGGUCUGCUGUAUACAUAAGACCAAGGGUAUGAUUCUUUAUACAUUUAUA
Molecule: long non-coding RNA, 511 nt
Filed under: Sinocyclocheilus grahami
Lineage: Eukaryota; Metazoa; Chordata; Actinopteri; Cypriniformes; Cyprinidae
Description: lncRNA (ENSSGRG00000037095.1)
Source: RNAcentral